Molecule: ribosomal RNA, 497 nt
Filed under: uncultured bacterium
Lineage: Bacteria
Description: partial 16S ribosomal RNA
Rfam family: Bacterial small subunit ribosomal RNA
Source: RNAcentral
GAUGAACGCUGGCGGCGUGCCUAAUACAUGCAAGUCGAGCGAACAGACGAGGAGCUUGCUCCUCUGACGUUAGCGGCGGACGGGUGAGUAACACGUGGAUAACCUACCUAUAAGACUGGGAUAACUUCGGGAAACCGGAGCUAAUACCGGGUAAUAUAUUGAACCGCAUGGUUCAAUAGUGAAAGACGGUUUUGCUGUCACUUAUAGAUGGAUCCGCGCCGCAUUAGCUAGUUGGUAAGGUAACGGCUUACCAAGGCAACGAUGCGUAGCCGACCUGAGAGGGUGAUCGGCCACACUGGAACUGAGACACGGUCCAGACUCCUACGGGAGGCAGCAGUAGGGAAUCUUGCGCAAUGGGCGAAAGCCUGACGGAGCAACGCCGCGUGAGUGAUGAAGGUCUUCGGAUCGUAAAACUCUGUUAUUAGGGAAGAACAAAUGUGUAAGUAACUAUGCACGUCUUGACGGUACCUAAUCAGAAAGCCACGGCUAACUACGUG